UAUCACCAUUUCUUGUGAGAUCUUGUUUUAUUCAUUGGAUCUCCAGUGUUUGAAUGCUGAAAAAUGCUUCCUUCCCUUUCCAGCAUAUGGAGGAAUUUCAGAGCAGAGUUGUUGUGCACAAACCUAUUUCUCCAGUGGCACAUGCUCAGAGGCAAUCAAAUCACUCUCGCCAUCGGGUUGUCCUUCCUUUACAAGCCUGAACAGAACCCAACCCAAGGACAGACGGACAGGCACAUAAACACGCUCUGAUUUUUGCGAGACAAGGUUAACUUGGACGGCUCACGUCUGAUAGAAGUUGUGAAGGAGGUCAAGAUGUUGGAAAUCAACGAUGUCAGAUCAUCUUCAGAAUCCGGUAGAGUCAGACUGACUGCAAAACGAGACCUCGCCAGUUCUCUCAGCCACCCUCCCUUUCCUCGUUUCAUUGCCAGGUAGCUCAUGGCACGGCAUGACGCUGUGUAAGCUCCAUCUGUUUGGCGCACGGCUGGUGACAAACUGCGAGAGAGGAGGCCUAGUCAGUCGCUGUGGGUUGCAUUGCGGUGGAACCAAUCGGCACCUUCCCACACGGCCCAAAGAGAAAGCCCCCCGGGAAACCCUUCAACACGCCCAGCCUACAACCCAGCACACAAUUUGUGCUCCGCCAAAUAUGGAGUCAACUUCUACCAACCCUGACUUCACCCGUGAUCAGUACAAAACAAAAAAAUGAGG
This is a long non-coding RNA of Sinocyclocheilus rhinocerous, 705 nucleotides long. RefSeq lists it as uncharacterized. The record is from RefSeq and is a predicted model, not a curated record. Lineage: Eukaryota; Metazoa; Chordata; Actinopteri; Cypriniformes; Cyprinidae. The transcript has 4 exons.